AAAACUUUCAACAACGGACCUCUUGGUUCUCGCAUCGAUGAAGAACGCAGCGAAACGCGAUAUGUAAUGUGAAUUGCAGAAUGUGAAUCAUCGAAUCUUUGAACGCACAUUGCACCUUCUGGUAUUCCAGAAGGUAUACCUGUUUGAGCGUCAGUU
RNAcentral lists this ribosomal RNA (156 nucleotides) under Sugiyamaella carassensis. RNAcentral's name for it is "5.8S ribosomal RNA". It matches the Rfam family "5.8S ribosomal RNA". Rfam says of the family: 5.8S ribosomal RNA (5.8S rRNA) is a component of the large subunit of the eukaryotic ribosome. Lineage: Eukaryota; Fungi; Ascomycota; Dipodascomycetes; Dipodascales; Trichomonascaceae. The record is from RNAcentral.